RNAcentral lists this ribosomal RNA (61 nucleotides) under Sanvitalia procumbens. RNAcentral's name for it is "partial 26S ribosomal RNA". The record is from RNAcentral. Lineage: Eukaryota; Viridiplantae; Streptophyta; Magnoliopsida; Asterales; Asteraceae.
GCGACCCCAGGUCAGGCGGGACUACCCGCUGAGUUUAAGCAUAUCAAAAAGCCGGAAGGAA